Molecule: unclassified non-coding RNA, 343 nt
Filed under: soil metagenome
Description: partial contains 5.8S ribosomal RNA, internal transcribed spacer 2, and large subunit ribosomal RNA
Rfam family: 5.8S ribosomal RNA (bases 1-120)
Source: RNAcentral
GAUGAAGAACGCAGCGAAAUGCGAUAAGUAAUGUGAAUUGCAGAAUUCAGUGAAUCAUCGAAUCUUUGAACGCACAUUGCGCCCGCUAGUAUUCUGGCGGGCAUGCCUGUCCGAGCGUCAUUUCAACCCUUAAGCCCCCGGGCUUGGUGUUGGGGAUCGGCGAGCCUCCGCGCCCGCCGUCCCCUAAAUCUAGUGGCGGUCUCGCUGUAGCUUCCUCUGCGUAGUAGCACACCUCGCACUGGGAAACAGCGCGGCCACGCCGUUAAACCCCCAACUUCUGAACGUUUGACCUCGGAUCAGGUAGGAAUACCCGCUGAACUUAAGCAUAUCAAUAAGCGGAGGA